CAGCAGCCACGGUAAUACGUAGGUGGCAAGCGUUGUCCGGAAUUAUUGGGCGUAAAGGGCUCGCAGGCGGUUUCUUAAGCCUGAUGUGAAAGCCCCCGGCUCAACCGGGGAGGGUCAUUGGAAACUGGGAAACUUGAGUGCAGAAGAGGAGAGUGGAAUUCCACGUGUAGCGGUGAAAUGCGUAGAGAUGUGGAGGAACACCAGUGGCGAAGGCGACUCUCUGGUCUGUAACUGACGCUGAGGAGCGAAAGCGUGGGGAGCGAACAGGAUUAGAUACCCCAGUAGUCCCUGUCUCUUAUAA
Molecule: ribosomal RNA, 301 nt
Filed under: uncultured bacterium
Lineage: Bacteria
Description: partial 16S ribosomal RNA
Rfam family: Bacterial small subunit ribosomal RNA
Source: RNAcentral